AUUGAACGCUGGCGGCAGGCCUAACACAUGCAAGUCGAACGGUAACAGGAAGAAGCUUGCUUCUUUGCUGACGAGUGGCGGACGGGUGAGUAAUGUCUGGGAAACUGCCUGAUGGAGGGGGAUAACUACUGGAAACGGUAGCUAAUACCGCAUAACGUCGCAAGACCAAAGAGGGGGACCUUCGGGCCUCUUGCCAUCGGAUGUGCCCAGAUGGGAUUAGCUAGUAGGUGGGGUAACGGCUCACCUAGGCGACGAUCCCUAGCUGGUCUGAGAGGAUGACCAGCCACACUGUAACUGAGACACGGUCCAGACUCCUACGGGAGGCAGCAGUGGGGAAUAUUGCACAAUGGGCGCAAGCCUGAUGCAGCCAUGCCGCGUGUAUGAAGAAGGCCUUCGGGUUGUAAAGUACUUUCAGCGGGGAGGAAGGGAGUAAAGUUAAUACCUUUGCUCAUUGACGUUACCCGCAGAAGAAGCACCGGCUAACUCCGUG
This 490-nucleotide ribosomal RNA is filed under the name uncultured bacterium. Its description in RNAcentral is "partial 16S ribosomal RNA". It matches the Rfam family "Bacterial small subunit ribosomal RNA", at positions 30 to 507 of the family's 1533-position model. The record is from RNAcentral.